UGGAAUCACCUGAUUUGAAUGUGGGAUAACUUCUUCUUGCCAACUCCUAUGAGAUUUAUUCAACUUCCUGGUGAUUCUCUGUUGAGAUGUGCUGAGGUAUUUGAGAAGGCAUUGAGGAGUUAAGGAAAUGAGGAAGCAAAGGACUGAAAGGGAAGAGAGAAUUGAGCAAUGGCACGGACGGAUCAUCCGUACACUGACCGUACAAGGUAAAAGGGAGGAUGGUAACUUCACCGAGUAACCACAUGAACUGAGGUGAAGUUACACUCGACCAAAAGCUUAUCCAGACGUUGGAG
This 293-nucleotide long non-coding RNA is filed under the name Brassica rapa (field mustard). RNAcentral's name for it is "long non-coding RNA (BRAP_LNC008093)". Lineage: Eukaryota; Viridiplantae; Streptophyta; Magnoliopsida; Brassicales; Brassicaceae. The record is from RNAcentral.